This 211-nucleotide ribosomal RNA is filed under the name uncultured bacterium. RNAcentral's name for it is "partial 16S ribosomal RNA". It matches the Rfam family "Bacterial small subunit ribosomal RNA", at positions 524 to 734 of the family's 1533-position model. The record is from RNAcentral.
GACGUAGGAGGCGAGCGUUGUCCGGAUUCAUUGGGCGUAAAGAGCACGCAGGCGGUUUGGCAAGUCGGAUGUGAAAACCCGAAGCUCAACUUCGGGCCUGCAUCCGAAACUGCCCGACUAGAGGUAGGUAGGGGAGAUCGGAAUUCCUGGUGUAGCGGUGAAAUGCGCAGAUAUCAGGAGGAACACCGGUGGCGAAGGCGGAUCUCCGUGG